Molecule: long non-coding RNA, 492 nt
Organism: Daphnia pulicaria
Lineage: Eukaryota; Metazoa; Arthropoda; Branchiopoda; Diplostraca; Daphniidae
Exons: 3
Source: RefSeq, a predicted model, not a curated record
UCAUUUUCUUCACGCUCGAAGGUCACGGAAAUCUUUAAGUAAAACGUGUCAUGUGACGGGGGAGAGGUUGGGUGAGCACGACACGUGUUGCAUCAUUAUCAAGCAGGUGUAAUAGCCGUAAGGCUUAAGAGAGGGGUCAGGGUGAGAAAAAAAUCGUAUAAAACGAGAGAGAAAAGGCAUUUGUAAUCAGUUGAGUGAGAAUCUCCGACACGGCAACAACUGCUGUGCACUAUUUGUCACCAACUGCAUUCUUCAUCGUAUUAACGGUUCGCAACCAAAUGUAACUAUGGUGUCGUGCUGCUGUUGGUUGUCCUUAAUGGAUGGGUCGACUACUGGUGUACCGAUGUCUCGUGGGUAUGGUGGACACCCAACUGCAACGUCACCGUCUUACCAGACAACGUACGCAACAACCGGAUACUACACCACCAAAGCCCAGGACACCGGAGCACCACCAAGGGAGCGGAGUACUACACCACCAAGGGAGCGGAGUAC